This 70-nucleotide transfer RNA is filed under the name Dipodomys ordii (Ord's kangaroo rat). It matches the Rfam family "tRNA". Rfam says of the family: Transfer RNA (tRNA) molecules are approximately 80 nucleotides in length. Their secondary structure includes four short double-helical elements and three loops (D, anti-codon, and T loops). Further hydrogen bonds mediate the characteristic L-shaped molecular structure. tRNAs have two regions of fundamental functional importance: the anti-codon, which is responsible for specific mRNA codon recognition, and the 3' end, to which the tRNAs corresponding amino acid is attached (by aminoacyl-tRNA synthetases). tRNAs cope with the degeneracy of the genetic code in two manners: having more than one tRNA (with a specific anti-codon) for a particular amino acid; and 'wobble' base-pairing, i.e. permitting non-standard base-pairing at the 3rd anti-codon position. Lineage: Eukaryota; Metazoa; Chordata; Mammalia; Rodentia; Heteromyidae. The record is from Rfam by way of RNAcentral.
GGAACUGUGGCUCAGUGGUCGAGUGCUUGCCUUGCAUGCAGGAAGCCCUGGGUUCCAUUCCUCGGUACCA